RNAcentral lists this ribosomal RNA (213 nucleotides) under uncultured bacterium. Its description in RNAcentral is "partial 16S ribosomal RNA". It matches the Rfam family "Bacterial small subunit ribosomal RNA", at positions 1288 to 1500 of the family's 1533-position model. The record is from RNAcentral.
UCAGUUCGGAUUGAAGGCUGAAAUUCGCCUACAUGAAGCUGGAAUUGCCAGUAAUGGCAGGUCAGCAUACUGCCGUGAAUACGUUCCCGGGCCUUGUACACACCGCCCGUCACACCAUGAGAGUUGGGGAUACCCGAAGCCUGUGAGCCAACUGUAAAGAGGCAGCAGUCGAAGGUAGAAUCAAUGAUUGGGGUGAAGUCGUAACAAGGUACC